GCAUUUAGCUCAAUUGGUAGAGCGUUGGAUUCUUAAUCCGUAGGUUGCAGGUUCAAUCCCUGCGAUGCA
This 69-nucleotide transfer RNA is filed under the name Myxococcales bacterium. RNAcentral's name for it is "tRNA-Lys". It matches the Rfam family "tRNA". From Rfam's summary of the family: Transfer RNA (tRNA) molecules are approximately 80 nucleotides in length. Their secondary structure includes four short double-helical elements and three loops (D, anti-codon, and T loops). Further hydrogen bonds mediate the characteristic L-shaped molecular structure. tRNAs have two regions of fundamental functional importance: the anti-codon, which is responsible for specific mRNA codon recognition, and the 3' end, to which the tRNAs corresponding amino acid is attached (by aminoacyl-tRNA synthetases). tRNAs cope with the degeneracy of the genetic code in two manners: having more than one tRNA (with a specific anti-codon) for a particular amino acid; and 'wobble' base-pairing, i.e. permitting non-standard base-pairing at the 3rd anti-codon position. Lineage: Bacteria; Pseudomonadati; Myxococcota; Myxococcia; Myxococcales. The record is from RNAcentral.